This is a non-coding RNA of Cyanistes caeruleus (blue tit), 744 nucleotides long. NCBI's taxonomy places the organism in Eukaryota, Metazoa, Chordata, Aves, Passeriformes, Paridae. The record is from RefSeq and is a predicted model, not a curated record.
AUUGCUUUAUUCAGGGGUGGGGGUUAACUGAGUUUAAUGUAUGUUCAUCAGCCGUGCACAGACAAAUCUCCAUAUGAUUCAUUGGAGCAGCACUGCAGAACACCUGGUGUUGCCAAUGCAGUUCUGUUAGUGUUUUGUUAUUUUUAAAGGGGAUUAUAUAACUCUCUAAUUAAAAUUAAAUGUGGGCUGAAAUGAUGCAGGCAAAUUCUCAAGCUUCAGAGUGAGCUUCUUCCUCACAGUUUAGCAGAAGAUAAACCUUUUUUAGGCAGAAGAGAAGGAAAAUUAAACCAAGAGGUUGUAACGUUGAAUUUAGGGUCUCUAAAAUUUUAAGUUUCCUGAUAAUUCUCUGUUUUUUUUCUAGAGGCCCUCAACCCCUCUGAUGCUGACCUGCAGCUUCCAGGGAGUGCAGGUGCAGGGUUUGAAUCUAAAAUUCACUCUGUAGCACAGCCAUCCUAUCAUCCACAGGUAGGACAGAGUGUGUUCAUUUUGAAGUCACACCUGGCCAUUGCAUUAACAAAUAACAACUCAUGUAGAGUCUGAAUUACCUCUCUUAGCUCUGUUGUGGAAACAGAUGUCGCCAAGUAUGACAAUUGCAAGGCACCACAUUGCUUUGUGAAUGGAUAAUAUUCAGAACAGGCAGCACUGAGGACACCUCCCAUGUUCAGGCAUAAGAUCUCUAAACCUAUGCAGCCUUUCAAAAGUCAUUACUUUCAUUAAACAUGCUAAGAAAUUACUCGUGUUACA